UGGGGAAUAUUGCACAAUGGGCGCAAGCCUGAUGCAGCCAUGCCGCGUGUGUGAAGAAGGCCUUCGGGUUGUAAAGCACUUUCAGCGAGGAGGAAGGUGGUGAACUUAAUACGUUCAUCAAUUGACGUUACUCGCAGAAGAAGCACCGGCUAACUCCGUGCCAGCAGCCGCGGUAAUACGGAGAGUGCAAGCGUUAAUCGGAAUUACUGGGCGUAAAGCGCACGCAGGCGGUUUGUUAAGUCAGAUGUGAAAUCCCCGGGCUCAACCUGGGAACUGCAUUUGAAACUGGCAAGCUAGAGUCUCGUAGAGGGGGGUAGAAUUCCAGGUGUAGCGGUGAAAUGCGUAGAGAUCUGGAGGAAUACCGGUGGCGAAGGCGGCCCCCCUGGACGAAGACUGACGCUCAGGUGCGAAAGCGUGGGGAGCAAACAGGAUUAGAUACCCUGGUAGUCCACGCUGUAAAACGAUGUCGAUUUUGGAGGUUGUGCCCCUUGAGGCGUGGCUUCCGGAGCUAACGCGUUAAAUCGACCGCCUGGGGAGUACGGCCGCAAGGUUAAAACUUAAAUGAAUUG
This 569-nucleotide ribosomal RNA is filed under the name uncultured bacterium. Its description in RNAcentral is "partial 16S ribosomal RNA". It matches the Rfam family "Bacterial small subunit ribosomal RNA", at positions 355 to 912 of the family's 1533-position model. The record is from RNAcentral.